This 247-nucleotide ribosomal RNA is filed under the name uncultured Actinomycetes bacterium. Its description in RNAcentral is "uncultured actinobacterium partial 16S ribosomal RNA". It matches the Rfam family "Bacterial small subunit ribosomal RNA", at positions 28 to 276 of the family's 1533-position model. The record is from RNAcentral. Lineage: Bacteria; Bacillati; Actinomycetota; Actinomycetes.
GACGAACGCUGGCGGCGUGCUUAACACAUGCAAGUCGAGCGAGGCCCUCUCUUCGGAGAGGUGCCCUAGCGGCGAACGGGUGAGUAACACGUGGGCAACCUGCCCCUAGCACUGGGAUAAGCCGAGGAAACUCGGUCUAAUACCGGAUAUGACCUUCGAGGGCAUCCUUGAAGGUGUAAAGGAUUCUGGCUAGGGAUGGGCCCGCGGCCUAUCAGCUUGUUGGUGGGGUAACGGCCCACCAAGGCAA